RNAcentral lists this ribosomal RNA (457 nucleotides) under uncultured bacterium. RNAcentral's name for it is "SSU rRNA". It matches the Rfam family "Bacterial small subunit ribosomal RNA", at positions 26 to 518 of the family's 1533-position model. The record is from RNAcentral.
AGGACGAACGUUGGCGGCGUGCCUAACACAUGCAAGUCGAACGUGGCUUAAGUUUACUUAAGUCUAGUGGCGGACGGCAGAGUAAUGCACAGGAACGUACCUCGAGGUGAGGGAUAGCCCUUCGAAAGAAGGGGUAAUACCACAUGUGCUCGCAAGAGCAAAGCCGCAAGGCGCCAUGAGAACGGCCUGUGUCCUAUCAGGUAGUUGGUGAGGUAAAGGCUCACCAAGCCUAUGACGGGUAGCUGGUCUGAGAGGAUGAUCAGCCUGAUCGGGACUGAGACACGGCCCGAACUCCUACGGGAGGCAGCAGUUGGGAAUUUUGCACAAUGGACGAAAGUCUGAUGCAGCGACGCCGCGUGGAGGAUGAAGGUCUUCGGAUCGUAAACUCCUUUACUUGGGAAUAAUUUAAUGAAGGUACCAAGUGAAUAAGCACGGCUAACUCCGUGCCAGCAGCCGC